Molecule: ribosomal RNA, 1372 nt
Filed under: uncultured bacterium
Lineage: Bacteria
Description: bacterial SSU rRNA
Rfam family: Bacterial small subunit ribosomal RNA
Source: RNAcentral
GAUGAACGCUGGCGGCGUGCCUAAUACAUGCAAGUCGAGCGAACGGACGAGAAGCUUGCUUCUCUGAUGUUAGCGGCGGACGGGUGAGCAACGCGUGGAUAACCUACCUAUAAGACUGGGAUAACUUCGGGAAACCGUAGCUAAUACCGGAUAAUAUUUUGAACCGCAUGGUUCAAAAGUGAAAGACGGUCUUGCUGUCACUUAUAGAUGGAUCCGCGCUGCAUUAGCUAGUUGGUAAGGUAACGGCUUACCAAGGCAACGAUGCAUAGCCGACCUGAGAGGGUGAUCGGCCACACUGGAACUGAGACACGGUCCAGACUCCUACGGGAGGCAGCAGUAGGGAAUCUUCCGCAAUGGGCGAAAGCCUGACGGAGCAACGCCGCGUGAGUGAUGAAGGUCUUCGGAUCGUANAACUCUGUUAUUGGGGAAGAACAUAUGUGUAAGUAACUGUGCACAUCUUGACGGUACCUAAUCAGAAAGCCACGGCUAACUACGUGCCAGCAGCCGCGGUAAUACGUAGGUGGCAAGCGUUAUCCGGAAUUAUUGGGCGUAAAGCGCGCGUAGGCGGUUUUUUAAGUCUGAUGUGAAAGCCCACGGCUCAACCGUGGAGGGUCAUUGGAAACUGGAAAACUUGAGUGCAGAAGAGGAAAGUGGAAUUCCAUGUGUAGCGGUGAAAUGCGCAGAGAUAUGGAGGAACACCAGUGGCGAAGGCGACUUUCUGGUCUGUAACUGACGCUGAUGUGCGAAAGCGUGGGGAUCAAACAGGAUUAGAUACCCUGGUAGUCCACGCCGUAAACGAUGAGUGCUAAGUGUUAGGGGGUUUCCGCCCCUUAGUGCUGCAACUAACGCAUUAAGCACUCCGCCUGGGGAGUACGACCGCAAGGUUGAAACUCAAAGGAAUUGACGGGGACCCGCACAAGCGGUGGAGCAUGUGGUUUAAUUCGAAGCAACGCGAAGAACCUUACCAAAUCUUGACAUCCUUUGACAACUCUAGAGAUAGAGCCUUCCCCUUCGGGGGACAAAGUGACAGGUGGUGCAUGGUUGUCGUCAGCUCGUGUCGUGAGAUGUUGGGUUAAGUCCCGCAACGAGCGCAACCCUUAAGCUUAGUUGCCAUCAUUAAGUUGGGCACUCUAAGUUGACUGCCGGUGACAAACCGGAGGAAGGUGGGGAUGACGUCAAAUCAUCAUGCCCCUUAUGAUUUGGGCUACACACGUGCUACAAUGGACAAUACAAAGGGCAGCGAAACCGCGAGGUCAAGCAAAUCCCAUAAAGUUGUUCUCAGUUCGGAUUGUAGUCUGCAACUCGACUACAUGAAGCUGGAAUCGCUAGUAAUCGUAGAUCAGCAUGCUACGGUGAAUACGUUCCCGGGUCU